Molecule: small nuclear RNA, 107 nt
Organism: Meriones unguiculatus (Mongolian gerbil)
Lineage: Eukaryota; Metazoa; Chordata; Mammalia; Rodentia; Muridae
Source: Ensembl
GUGCUUACUUCAGCAGCACCUAGACCAAAAUUGGAACAAUACAGAGAAGAUCACUAUGGCCCCACUGCAAGGACGACACCCAAAUUCAUGGUCUAGUAGCUGUCCCC